Molecule: non-coding RNA, 1349 nt
Organism: Marmota flaviventris (yellow-bellied marmot)
Lineage: Eukaryota; Metazoa; Chordata; Mammalia; Rodentia; Sciuridae
Source: RefSeq, a predicted model, not a curated record
AUUAAAAGGGGGGUCAAAAGCCCCAAAAUUUGUUAUAAAUAAUAGAGCAAAUGAACAGACAUUCAGCCAGGUGACACUGAUGCACACAAGCCUGAGAGCCUGGUGAGGACUUGGACUGACAUCCCUACUCUUCUCAUCUGCCUGAAUCUCUGUGUAGUUCUCAUCGCUCUCAAACUCUACAGUCACAUCUUGACCCUGGGAGCGCACCUCCUGGAGGGUAAGGGAGACCUAGUCUUGAGCACCAGCAAGGCCUAUUUCAAAUAUAAGAGACCCUGAGGCUCACCUGUGGGAACACCUCCACCAGCUCCUUUGUCCAACAGGCGAAAAACCAGAAGUAGAUCCUGUUAGGUCGAUGGAGGUGACUGAGGAACCAAGCACCACCAAGCAACCUGCGCUCAAAAGAACACCAGACACCGAUGGAGCCACCUGUCAAUCAGCAGGGUCAUCUGACCAAUCCUGGAUCUUAGCCAACUCUGCCAACAAACCCCAUUUGGAUAAGGGACUCUAAAGACCCCUUUUCCUGUCCCAAGCCCUCCCUUCCUGCCCUAAGCCCAGUAAAAAUUUCAGUCCAGUGGAGCCCCCCACUCUUCUCCUUAGACCCGCUCUGCUGGUCUGAGGGUCCCACCCUGGAGCGAAAUCUCAACAAAGCCCCCCUCAGCCGCCUUUUUAAAUCUGCCGCCUUUUGGUCGCAGCUGUCUGGCCUUACAUCUUGUGCUGAAACCCGGGAGGGAUUUUCGGGCGUCUUCCAUACCUUACAUCUGGGGAUUGAGGUCCAUCAUCCCCGCUUCAAAGGAACCGGGAAAUUCCUAAGCUGCUCCUUCCCUCUCCCUUCAUCGGGCUGGCAAGAGUGGGGUAAGUUCCCAUUUCCCCUGACCUUCCAGCCCCUUUCCAUCCACGGGGGUCUGCCCGUAAGUCACGCGUGUGCCGUAGACUCCCACCCGUUCUGUUCAAGGCCUGGGGACUGCGGAGACUCCCAGUUCUUGUGUGAGCCAUUCUGAUCUGUUUGGGCUCCUGGCAGAUUACAGGGAUGCCUCAACCAUCCCCGAGCCCUUAUCUGUUCCUCAGGUGAAUGCCAUCAGAAUUUGGGACGCCUUUUUCUGCUCCCACCCACCCCCGAGGGUGCCGGAAGAUCUUGGGAAACACCGAGUCCUCCUUAGACCCCAAAAGUCCUUUGGAUGUCUCUAUUCAAAUUUUGCCAAGUUAGGGCUCACUCAAGACCUACACCGUAACCGCCUGGUCGUUUACUGCACUGUGGCCUGGCCCCAGUGGGACUUAGACAAUGGGUCACAAUGAAGCCAGAUUUAAAGUUAGGUAGUCAGUGUAGUUAGGUAAAUCGGGUGUAAUAUGGG